Vicia faba (fava bean) is the source of this 186-nucleotide non-coding RNA. Lineage: Eukaryota; Viridiplantae; Streptophyta; Magnoliopsida; Fabales; Fabaceae. The record is from the annotation of a GenBank genome assembly.
AUGUGGAAAGAAUCACCAUCAAAAUCACAGGAAAAAACUUUCUAUGCAAUCUCUCUUCAACUUUCUCUAAGUUUUAUUUACAACUUCACUAAUCUUCGUCAUCAACUUCUGCAACUGUUUCAUUUAUUCAUCGUUUCUACAUCACACACAUCAACAACAACUUCGCAGCAACAUCAUCUUAAAUAA